GGAGAUGGCCGAGUAGUUUAAAGCGGCAGACUGAAAAUCUGUUAAUCUAUUAGGGUUCAGGGGUUCGAAUCCCCUUCUCACCGCAA
RNAcentral lists this transfer RNA (86 nucleotides) under Bacteroidota bacterium. RNAcentral's name for it is "Bacteroidetes bacterium tRNA-Phe". It matches the Rfam family "tRNA". From Rfam's summary of the family: Transfer RNA (tRNA) molecules are approximately 80 nucleotides in length. Their secondary structure includes four short double-helical elements and three loops (D, anti-codon, and T loops). Further hydrogen bonds mediate the characteristic L-shaped molecular structure. tRNAs have two regions of fundamental functional importance: the anti-codon, which is responsible for specific mRNA codon recognition, and the 3' end, to which the tRNAs corresponding amino acid is attached (by aminoacyl-tRNA synthetases). tRNAs cope with the degeneracy of the genetic code in two manners: having more than one tRNA (with a specific anti-codon) for a particular amino acid; and 'wobble' base-pairing, i.e. permitting non-standard base-pairing at the 3rd anti-codon position. The record is from RNAcentral. Lineage: Bacteria; Pseudomonadati; Bacteroidota.